This 1480-nucleotide ribosomal RNA is filed under the name Salmonella enterica subsp. enterica serovar Mbandaka. RNAcentral's name for it is "partial 23S ribosomal RNA". It matches the Rfam family "Bacterial large subunit ribosomal RNA", at positions 711 to 2171 of the family's 2925-position model. Lineage: Bacteria; Pseudomonadati; Pseudomonadota; Gammaproteobacteria; Enterobacterales; Enterobacteriaceae. The record is from RNAcentral.
AGACCCGAAACCCGGUGAUCUAGCCAUGGGCAGGUUGAAGGUUGGGUAACACUAACUGGAGGACCGAACCGACUAAUGUUGAAAAAUUAGCGGAUGACCUGUGGCUGGGGGUGAAAGGCCAAUCAAACCGGGAGAUAGCUGGUUCUCCCCGAAAGCUAUUUAGGUAGCGCCUCGUGAAUUCAUCUCCGGGGGUAGAGCACUGUUUCGGCUAGGGGGCCAUCCCGGCUUACCAACCCGAUGCAAACUGCGAAUACCGGAGAAUGUUAUCACGGGAGACACACGGCGGGUGCUAACGUCCGUCGUGAAGAGGGAAACAACCCAGACCGCCAGCUAAGGUCCCAAAGUCAUGGUUAAGUGGGAAACGAUGUGGGAAGGCCCAGACAGCCAGGAUGUUGGCUUAGAAGCAGCCAUCAUUUAAAGAAAGCGUAAUAGCUCACUGGUCGAGUCGGCCUGCGCGGAAGAUGUAACGGGGCUAAACCAUGCACCGAAGCUGCGGCAGCGACGCUGAUGCGUUGUUGGGUAGGGGAGCGUUCUGUAAGCCUGCGAAGGUGGCCUGUGAGGGUUGCUGGAGGUAUCAGAAGUGCGAAUGCUGACAUAAGUAACGAUAAAGCGGGUGAAAAGCCCGCUCGCCGGAAGACCAAGGGUUCCUGUCCAACGUUAAUCGGGGCAGGGUGAGUCGACCCCUAAGGCGAGGCCGAAAGGCGUAGUCGAUGGGAAACGGGUUAAUAUUCCCGUACUUGGUGUUACUGCGAAGGGGGGACGGAGAAGGCUAUGUUGGCCGGGCGACGGUUGUCCCGGUUUAAGCGUGUAGGUGUGUGUUCCAGGUAAAUCCGGUUCACUUUAACACUGAGGCGUGACGACGAGGCACUACGGUGCUGAAGCAACAAAUGCCCUGCUUCCAGGAAAAGCCUCUAAGCAUCAGGUAACAUCAAAUCGUACCCCAAACCGACACAGGUGGUCAGGUAGAGAAUACCAAGGCGCUUGAGAGAACUCGGGUGAAGGAACUAGGCAAAAUGGUGCCGUAACUUCGGGAGAAGGCACGCUGACACGUAGGUGAAGUGAUUUACUCAUGGAGCUGAAGUCAGUCGAAGAUACCAGCUGGCUGCAACUGUUUAUUAAAAACACAGCACUGUGCAAACACGAAAGUGGACGUAUACGGUGUGACGCCUGCCCGGUGCCGGAAGGUUAAUUGAUGGGGUCAGCGCAAGCGAAGCUCCUGAUCGAAGCCCCGGUAAACGGCGGCCGUAACUAUAACGGUCCUAAGGUAGCGAAAUUCCUUGUCGGGUAAGUUCCGACCUGCACGAAUGGCGUAAUGAUGGCCAGGCUGUCUCCACCCGAGACUCAGUGAAAUUGAACUCGCUGUGAAGAUGCAGUGUACCCGCGGCAAGACGGAAAGACCCCGUGAACCUUUACUAUAGCUUGACACUGAACAUUGAGCCUUGAUGUGUAGGAUAGGUGGGAGGCUUUGAAGUGUGGACGC